UCGUCUGUACUCCGCGCCUGCGCGUUUGAAAUAUGAUAAUGUUGUUGAUAUGCUAUGCUAGCUAGCUAGUGGAGUUGUUUUUGCAUAUUAGGUUACCAUUAAUUUACUCUCUUCACUGUCUCGCCACUGUAUCAAGAUAAACCCGAAAACGCUCCGCAUGAAGGGCUGAUGGAAAACGCAAGAGAUACGGCUGAACGGACUGUUCGUUCAGAAAGGAAGAGGCGGGACUCGUUUGGGAUGUUCGAUGGCUAUGACAGCUGCAGUGAGGAUUCCAGCAGUAGCUCGAGCUCAGAGGACAGUGAUGAAGAGGUUCCCUCCCUCCCUGCCAGCCUGCCCAUCAUCAAGACCAACGGCCAGGUCUACACCUACCCCGAUGGGAAGGCAGGAAUGGCCACCUGUGAGAUGUGUGGGAUGGUGGGAGUGAGAGAUGCUUUCUACUCCAAAACCAAGCGCUUCUGCAGUGUAUCCUGUUCAAGGAGUUACUCAUCCAACUCUAAAAAAGCCAGCAUACUGGCCAGACUGCAGGGUAAACCCCCCACGAAAAAGGCUAAAGUAUUACAGAAACAGCCUCUCAUGGCGAAGUUGGCUGCCUAUGCCCAGUACCAAGCCAACCAACAGAAUCAAGUCAAAUCAAAAACAGUGAUUCCUGUGAAAGGCUUUGAUUGGGGACGCUACAUAGGCACCGGCGACAUUAACGGGGCACCUGUCGGCUGUUUCAAACACGUUCCCAUGGGAACUUCCUGGGGUGACCUUGCAGAAGGGGUGAGGGUAGAGGUGCCCAAUACAGACAGCGGCCUGCCAAUGAAGGUGUACUGGAUAGCAGGAGUUAUCAAAUUAGCAGGCUUUAAGGCACUGCUACGGUACGAGGGGUUUGAUGGUGACUCUGGCAGGGAUUUCUGGUGUAACAUCUGUGUCCCUGACAUCCACCCGGUGGGCUGGUGUGCAGCCGGAGGAAAGCCCCUGGUUCCUCCCAAGUCCAUUCAGCACAAGUGCACCAACUGGAAAGCGUUUCUUGUGAAAUGCCUAACAGGAGCAAAGACUCUACCUAUUGAUUUCUCCACCAAGGUGCAGCAGAGCAUGCAGUUCCCCUUUAAGAAGCUGAUGCGUGUGGAGGUGGUGGAUAAGACUCACCUGUGCCGGACGCGGGUGGCCCUGGUAGAGCAGGUGAUCGGAGGUCGGCUUCGGCUCGUCUACGAGGAGUGCGAGGACGGCUCGGACGACUUCUGGUGCCACAUGUACAGCCCACUGAUACACAGCAUCGGCUGGUCCCGCGGCAUUGGACACCGCUUCAAGAGAUCUGAUGUUUCAAAGAAACUUGAUGGCCAAGUAGAUGCCCCAGGACAGCUUUUUGCGAAGGUGAAGGAUGUUGACCAGAGCGGGGAGUGGUUUAAAGAUGGCAUGAAGCUGGAGGCUAUUGACCCUCUGAAUCUAUCAGCUAUUUGUGUUGCUACUGUCAGAAAGGUCUUGGCGGAUGGAUACCUCAUGAUUGGAAUUGAUGGUUCCGAGGCGGCUGAUGGUUCUGACUGGUUCUGCUAUCACUCCACCUCUCCCUCUAUCUUUCCUGCUGGAUUCUGUGAAAUCAACACAAUUGAACUCACCCCUCCACGUGGGUACACAAAACUCCCAUUCAGAUGGUUUGACUACCUCAGGGAAACGGGUUCAGUGGCAGCUCCGGUGAAGCUCUUUAACAAGGAAGUUCCAAACCAUGGGUUCCGCCCUGGCAUGAAGCUGGAGGCUGUGGACCUGAUGGAGCCCCGGCUGGUGUGUGUUGCCACAGUGACACGUAUUGUACAUAGACUGCUGCGCAUCCAUUUUGACGGCUGGGAGGACGAGUAUGAUCAGUGGGUGGACUGUGAAUCACCUGACCUAUACCCUGUGGGCUGGUGUCAGCUGACUGGCUACCAGCUACAGCCACCAGCUGUGCUCGCCUCUAGAGAGCUCCCUCUGAGUGUGACAAAGCAGAAGAAGAAAUCCCAGCAGUACAAAGGCCAAAAGAAAAGGCAAAGCUGCACUCGCCACGGCUCAUCACGAUUCUUGCUCUGUGGGCAUCUCUAUUCACACCAACACAGAGCAUUGAAACCAAGUCGAAACUCUCCUACACCGGAUUAAUUUUCGUACCAGUGUGAAGCUGUUAUUAGAGGAUUAGACCUCAGGCUAAAGAAAAAUCUUCAUUGCCUGCAAUAAAAGACAAAUUAUUUGAUUAUGUAGAUCUUUUUAUGGUAUGCUUCGUUUUAUCUGUUCAUUCAGUCUUUGUUAGUCAUGCUGGACAUUACAUCAAGCUUUUCCUGAAUAACUUAGAUUUCUUAGACAUUUUUACCUAGAUUGGAAUAUUUAAAUUUGACUUUAUUGAUGAUUAAUAACACUUAAGUAGCCACACGUCAAAAGAGCAAAGGCAUAAGAAACACGAAAGUAACAGAAGAGCUGAUCAACCAUUUUACCCUUUGUCUUGGUUUUUAGAGAGGAAGAUCCCCAUUGGUAAGAGACCAGUGAGUUUGUCGGGGGUGGUAUUGAGUGGAGUGCCCCAGAGGAACCUAUCUGGAGACGAGAACAUGACCCCGCCAGACUACCCAUCUCCUCCCACGCCAGCAUCUGCCUCUGGGACUGCACAGCCUCCCUCGGCAGCCCAGGAAGUCAGCCCCAAUGGAAAGCCAGGGGUGACAAUGCAGCUGAAGGAGGAGGUUCAGGAGGCAGACGAGUUCACCUUCCCGCAGGGCACAGCCUCCGACCUGGAGAGCAAUGGCUCCGGCGGCAGCUACUACAUCAAGCAGGAGACCUGAGCCUCCGUGGGGCACUGCUGCACCCACCAACGGAGGGCCAGCCUGGGGGCAAGAAGGAGUCAGUCCCCUCCCUCUCCCUCCACAGCACCAGAGACCAUGGGCCCUGGGUGGCAUCCCCACAACAUUAACAUGGAAGGUCACCAGGGGGCUUCAAGCUGUGCUCAUAGAGACUUGGGACAGAGCGACUCAGACUAGUUCCAAACAGACAGGUCAAACGGGGAGAGGAGUGUAGAGAAUAAAGGGAAAAAGAGAGGUGUGUGUGAAUGACAAUAACUUUGUUUCAGUUCAGUUUUUUGUACUUCAACAACAACAAAGAAGAAGCUUUUUUACGAUUUUUUUCUAAUCCGAUAUCUUUUUGUGCAUCUCUCGUAUUCGUUACAUUGAGGUAGGGUAAUCUUUCGAUGGAUAAACUGUGUGAUGUUUGUGUAUAUAUAACAGGGUGUAUGUAGGUAUUGAAUGGACUAAACCUUACUGGUAUAAAACAAUCACUCAGAUAUAAAGUAGAAACACCACCAAUCAGCUUCAUACCAGUUCCGUACAUUCAACUAAGAUUUGAGCAGUUUACCACAUUCUCUGGAUCUUGCAUUCCAUUUAUGUGAUAGCCAAUAAUGACUUACAGCUAUCACUGGGACAUGACCAGAGCGAAUGUGGGAGAGCCCCAAAUCUUCAGUUGACCCUUUUCUAUCACUAUAUUUACCAUGCCUUAUUUAAAAUAUGUUUACAAAUAUUACUCCUCUUGGCCAGCUGAUUGCAGGCAAAUUUUUGUCAAAUCUAAACAUUUCUACUCUUAUGAAAAACAGGUCAUUCACUGUGGUAAUAUUUAGUUCUAUCACAGUUUACUACACAAUGAUAUGCAAACCUUGACUCUUGUGUCAAGUAAUAGAGAUCUAUGUGAAAUGUUUUAUAUCUAACAUAGCAUUAUUCUACAUGAAUUAUGUCAUAAUUCAGAGAGAUACUAUAAAUAUGAGUAGAGGAAAUAUUCAAGUCACUGUAAUAUUCGGGCUGUGUUUCAUCAGUACCGUCAACAACAUGAGAAACGUUUUAUCUGAAUAGAGAAUUUACUGUCUUUGUAAAAGAAAAACUUCAUAAUGCUGUUUGCUCUACCUCUUUUAGAACUUUUAAUGUAAUCUCCUGUUGCAAGGUUUUCAGAUUCUGGUCAAACCACACGUAAAGGUGACUUUCAUUACAAUUUAAAUCACUUUGACAGCUAUGUGUGCAUAUUUCCUAGUAAGUGUUUGGUAGGCCUGGGCUAAAUUGUCAUACUCACUGACUCAUGAUCAUACAUUUUAUUCAUAGGCCAUCCUUUCAUUGGGAGAUAUUAAAUGAAUGUCAAUAUUGAUUUAUAAAACAAAAUAUAUCACAUUAAAUGUGUAUUUAUGAACAAAGUAUGCAGUAUAUAACAGAGCCAAUUUACAAACAUGAUAUGGUGAUUUAUUUUGUGCCAUAUGAGAAAUUAAAGAGGGAUUAUAAUUUACAUACUAUAUAUACUAGCGACUGCACUCCGUUGUCUUACUUUAUAUACCAGUAAGGUUGACAAUUUACUCUCAGGAAAUCUUAGCGUAUUGUAUUAUAGGCUUCUUCUUCGUUGUUAAGGUUAUUGAGAACGGUGUUGUCAUUGGCUGUUGGCAUGCUGAACUUAGACUUCAGAGAUUGAUGUGGUCAACAGUAUUAAUAAAAAUGUGUUUAGUCCAAGAUCGGUCUUAAAGUAAAUGUGUCACUUGGUAAACCAUCUCACUAAUGUAGAGAGACCUAUUUGAUGUGAUACAAGGUCCCAUUUUAAGUGGAUUUGUCAUAUAUGCUGUCUCUAGAGGUAGGAUUACCCUUCUGUGUGUCACUGUUUGAUAAUGUGUAGGUGUUUGUUUUGAACUUUUCUUUUUUUGCAAAAAUGUUCAGUUAAAUGUUAGCUCUGUCGAUUUGUCUUACUGUUGUUACUGUAUGUUUCAAUGUCUGGUCCUGAGUGAAACUCAAACUAGUAUUAUAGUCUCAAUGAAAAUGUACAUUUUACGUGCUGGCUGGUGUAAACCAGCUCAGGUGACCUUGGUGAUGCCAAAGAUUGCCUAAGGUCACUGUCAAGCAAUAACGUCUUAUCACAGUACUCUCCUAAUGUUACAUUUUACCCUAAAUGUCAUAAUAAUGAACAAGGUUUGACAGGCACACGGUAGCUAAAUAUAUGGUACAGAGGCAUAUCUGUUGCAAAUGCUCCCAAUUUCACCCUACAUUAGGUUUGGGAGACAGUGAGAUCAUAAGCUUUUAGCUGUACUUUCACUCAAACUUCAGACUGUGCAUCAAAGACCGAAUGGUGGAAAUAUACAUGACAUUAUGUUAAUAUAUGGCAUGACUGUUUUGAGGCGACAAACAUUGUCUCCGUCGUCCUUGUAACACAAAUGUUAGACACGAGAAUUCAUGGUAUUUGAAUGAAGAAAAAAAUAAAACGCACAAAUGGACUCAAUAUAGGGCUACACUGUUCUGAUCAUGACGUUCAUUGAUUUCAAAUGCAUUAUUUCAUAUUAUAAUCAAUAUCAAAGAACAAGACUAUAGGGUGUGUUUGUUAAAACCAAAAUAUGUGCAUGCAGCAGUGUGAACAUCUCCUCCUGUGCUUAACUAGUUGGUCUUGGCACUAACACAGGUCUGUGUGUAUGUGUGCUUGUUUCUAUUGUGAAACCUGUUCAUAUUGUCCUUGUAUUCUGGUGCUAUAUACAUAUAUUUGAUAAAGUCAUAACCUUUUAAGAAUGAAAUGAUUUUCAGAAACUGUGACCAUAGUGGAGAAAUGCAGUUCUCUCUUAUUUUGGAUACAACUAUAAUGAAAGAUUUGUAAUGAAUUAACUGUCAAAACACAAAUCUUCAUCCAAGUAUAUAGUUUUUGUUCCUUGGUUUCCAUUGUAAAUGUGCUGUGAACAUGAAGUUUACUAAGCUACAGUAUAUCAACUACAGAAGUUUAGGAAAAUAUGUAUUUGAAGAUAUUUAGAUGUUUACUUUCAUUUAAUAUUUUUAAUGAAUCUUGCAGCAUGUUUGUGGAACAAGCAUUCAUGUAAAAUAAAUUAUUCACAACUUUUUUUUUACACUGCAUAAAAGUACAGUA
Oncorhynchus kisutch (coho salmon) is the source of this 5856-nucleotide RNA transcript. It is a transcript of the gene named MBT domain-containing protein 1, with no coding region annotated. The record is from RefSeq and is a predicted model, not a curated record. The transcript is spliced from 17 exons. NCBI's taxonomy places the organism in Eukaryota, Metazoa, Chordata, Actinopteri, Salmoniformes, Salmonidae.